RNAcentral lists this small RNA (941 nucleotides) under Pongo abelii (Sumatran orangutan). Its description in RNAcentral is "processed transcript". Lineage: Eukaryota; Metazoa; Chordata; Mammalia; Primates; Hominidae. The record is from RNAcentral.
AGGCGGGUGCAGCCCCGGCCCCAAGUUCUGCACCAUGGGAGGCUCCCACUCGCAGACCCCGAGGGGCCGGGAACCCGCUGGGGAGAGGCACCCGAGACCCACGGAGACCGCGAGUGGCUGUAAGGUGAAGAAGCAUGAAACUCAGUCUCUCGCCCUGGGUGCAUGUUCUCAGGAUGAAGGGGCAGUGAUCUCCCAGAUUUCAGACAUUUCUAAUAGGGAUGGCCAUGCUACUGAUGAGGAGAAACUGGCAUCCACGUCAUGUGGUCAGAAAUCAGCUGGGGCCGAGGUGAAAGGCAUAGAGAAGGAGACGUGCCAGAAGAUGGAAGAAGACGGGUCCACUGUGCUUGGGCUGCUGGAGUCGUCUGCAGAGAAGGCCCCUGUGUCGGUGUCCUGUGGAGGUGAGAGCCCCCUGGAUGGGAUCUGCCUCAGCGAAUCAGACAAGACAGCCGUGCUCACCUUAAUAAGAGAAGAGAUAAUCACUAAAGAGAUUGAAGCAAAUGAAUGGAAGAAGAAAUAUGAAGAGACCCGGCAAGAAGUUUUGGAGAUGAGGAAAAUUGUAGCUGAAUAUGAAAAGACUAUUGCUCAAAUGAUUGGUAAGGAGAACAUUUUGUUUUUUGAGGGUAUGAGCUAUAGGAUCUGUCUUAGUCUGUUCAGCCUGGUAUAACAAAGUACUGUAAGCUAGCUUAUAAACAACAAACAUUUUUCAUAGCUCUGGAGACAGGAGAGUUCAAGGCACUCACAGAUGAGAUGUCUGGGGAGGGCCCAUUCCUCAUAGAAAGGGCUGGCUAGCUCUCUGGGGUCUCUUUUAUAAGGACACUAAUCCUGACAUAAUCACCUCCCAAAGUCCCUUCCGUGCCCACUUUCACGCUGAACAUACUCACACAUUGGGGAUUAGGUUUCAAUACACAAAUCUGGGGUUGGGAGGUGGCAUAAACUAUAAG